This 434-nucleotide ribosomal RNA is filed under the name uncultured bacterium. RNAcentral's name for it is "partial 16S ribosomal RNA". It matches the Rfam family "Bacterial small subunit ribosomal RNA", at positions 29 to 507 of the family's 1533-position model. The record is from RNAcentral.
AGCGAACGCUGGCGGCAGGCCUAACACAUGCAAGUCGAACGAACCUUUCGGGGUUAGUGGCGGACGGGUGAGUAACACGUGGGAACGUGCCUUUAGGUUCGGAAUAACUCAGGGAAACGGGUGCUAAUACCGAAUGGGCCCUUCGGGGGAAAGAUUAAUCGCCUUUAGAGCGGCCCGCGUCUGAUUAGCUAGUUGGUUGAGGUAAUGGCUCACCAAGGCGACGAUCAGUAGCUGGUCUGAGAGGAUGAUCAGCCACAUCGGGGCUGGGACACGGCCCAAACUCCUACGGGAUGCAGCAGUGGGGAAUCUUGCGCAAUGGGCGAAAGCCUGACGCAGCCAUGCCGCGUGAAUGAUGAAGGUCUUAGGAUUGUAAAAUUCUUUCACCGGUGACGAUAAUGACGGUACCCGGAGAAGAAGCCCCGGCUAACUUCGUG